GAAACUUAUAGGGUCAUACAGAUCGGAAAAUCCUUAAUAGAUUAGCAGAAAAGAGCGGUUCGGACGGAAAAUCAGCAGAAAAUGGAAGAAUCAACGGCGAACCUAGAGAGGUCGGUAGCCGCGCCGAUGAUAUUCAUUAUAGUGUUAGCUUUGCAGUUCCUUUCUCGCUUUAUCGAAAUCAAUAAAAAGAAAGGUUCUACAAGUUCAGAAGAUUUGCAAUUGCGCGCAGAAAUCAAACAGCUUCUAAAGGAGGCAAGUGCCUUGUCACAGCCUUCAACAUUUGCACAAGCUGCAAAACUGAGGAGGUUAGCUACAGCCAAGGAGAAGGAACUUGCAAAAAAUCAAGAAAUUCACAACAAAGAGGCGAAAUUGUCACAUGAUUCAUACACAAAAGGCCUAACUAUUUUUCAGGUCUUGACAUACUUGUUGUUGAUCAUUUGGUUUUGGCGUAUUCCUGUGGCUUCCAUAUCUAAGCAGCUCGUACAGCCUUUUGGGAAGAUGUUGUCUUGGCGAGCUGGAGGCCCUGCCAAUGAAAAUGUUAUGGUGGGGAUUAUUCCGUGGUUGAUACUGUCUACUAGAGUCGGCAAAUCUAUCAGCCGAAGAAUAUUCAAGUAGGAGGAGAAAGUAGAAGUGACAUCAGUGUAUCGGACCAUUUUUUUUAACUAUCCUUUCAUUAUCUAUCUUAUGUUCUUACUAAUUCAUUGAGAUUUGUAAAUUGAAUGUGCUAUACCUCUG
RNAcentral lists this unclassified non-coding RNA (735 nucleotides) under Hevea brasiliensis (rubber tree). Lineage: Eukaryota; Viridiplantae; Streptophyta; Magnoliopsida; Malpighiales; Euphorbiaceae. The record is from RNAcentral.